GUGGGUGUAGUUUAAUGGUAAAACCUCAGCCUUCCAAGCUGAUGACGAGGGUUUGAUUCCCUUCACCUUCU
RNAcentral lists this transfer RNA (71 nucleotides) under Virgibacillus pantothenticus. It matches the Rfam family "tRNA". Rfam says of the family: Transfer RNA (tRNA) molecules are approximately 80 nucleotides in length. Their secondary structure includes four short double-helical elements and three loops (D, anti-codon, and T loops). RNAcentral also lists the same sequence under 2 other names. The record is from Rfam by way of RNAcentral. Lineage: Bacteria; Bacillati; Bacillota; Bacilli; Caryophanales; Bacillaceae.